RNAcentral lists this non-coding RNA (28 nucleotides) under Cricetulus griseus (Chinese hamster). Lineage: Eukaryota; Metazoa; Chordata; Mammalia; Rodentia; Cricetidae. The record is from RNAcentral.
AGAACUCUAAACUUAGACUGUUAAAUAG